GGGCGAGUAAUCCAUGAUCAAUCUACCCCUUUGACGGGAAUAACGGAUGGAAACGGCCGCUAAGACCCGAUAAGCCAACGAUAAGGCAUCUUAUUGUUGGGAAACGGUUGGGAUCUUCGGACCUUCUGCUUAGGGAAGGGAUCAUGUCCUAUUAGCUAGUUGGUGGGGUUACGGCCCACCAAGGCUGUGAUGGGUAGCCGGCCUGAGAGGGUGGUCGGCCGCAUUGAGACUGAGACACGGCUCAGACUCCUACGGGAGGCAGCAGUCGAGAAUCUUCCNCAAUAGGCGAANGCCUGACGGAGCGACGCCGCGUGGAGGAUGAAGGCCUUCGGGUUGUAAACUCCUGUCACCCGUUAAGAAUUGCAGGGCGUUAAUAGCGUUCUGCUUGACUAAGGCGGGAAAGGAAGCACCGGCUAACCCUGUGCCAGCAGCCGCGGUAAGACAGGCGGUGCAAGCGUUGCUCGGAAUCAAUUGG
Molecule: ribosomal RNA, 475 nt
Filed under: uncultured bacterium
Lineage: Bacteria
Description: bacterial SSU rRNA
Rfam family: Bacterial small subunit ribosomal RNA
Source: RNAcentral